RNAcentral lists this ribosomal RNA (203 nucleotides) under uncultured bacterium. RNAcentral describes it as "partial 16S ribosomal RNA". It matches the Rfam family "Bacterial small subunit ribosomal RNA", at positions 328 to 544 of the family's 1533-position model. The record is from RNAcentral.
ACGCUCGACACCUACGGAGGCAGCAGUGGGGAAUAUUGCACAAUGGGGGAAACCCUGAUGCAGCGACGCCGCGUGGAGGAAGAAGGUCUUCGGAUUGUAAACUCCUGUUGUUGGGGAAAAAGAGGAUGGUACCCAACAAGGAAGUGACGGCUAACUACGUGCCAACAGCCGCCGGUAAGUACUGAGCGGGCGUGGCGAAGGAC